Fimicolochytrium jonesii is the source of this 72-nucleotide non-coding RNA. Lineage: Eukaryota; Fungi; Chytridiomycota; Chytridiomycetes; Spizellomycetales; Powellomycetaceae. The record is from the annotation of a RefSeq genome assembly.
GGAGGUAUAGCUCAGUGGUAGAGCAUCCGACUGCAGAUCGGGCGGUCCCGAGUUCAACUCUCGGUGCCUCCU